This 496-nucleotide ribosomal RNA is filed under the name uncultured bacterium. RNAcentral's name for it is "bacterial SSU rRNA". It matches the Rfam family "Bacterial small subunit ribosomal RNA", at positions 903 to 1397 of the family's 1533-position model. The record is from RNAcentral.
AAAGGAAUAGACGGGGGCCCGCACAAGCGGUGGAGCAUGUGCUUUAAUUCGAUGCAACGCGAAGAACCUUACCUGGGCUUGACAUACCACUGACUCCUGCAGAGAUGUGGGUUUUUCUUCGGAAACAGUGGAUACAGGUGCUGCAUGGUUGUCGUCAGCUCGUGUCGUGAGAUGUUGGGUUAAGUCCCGCAACGAGCGCAACCCUCGUCCUUAGUUGCCAGCACGUAAAGGUGGGAACUCUAAGGAGACUGCCUGCGCAAGCAGGAGGAAGGUGAGGAUGACGUCAAAUCAUCAUGGCCCUUACGUCCAGGGCUAGACACGUGCUACAAUGGUCGGUACAAAGGGUUGCUAGCUGGUGACAGUGUGCUAAUCUCAAAAAACCGAUCUCAGUUCGGAUUGGAGUCUGCAACUCGACUCCAUGAAGUUGGAAUCGCUAGUAAUCGCGGAUCAGAACGCCGCGGUGAAUCCGUUCCCGGGCCUUGUACACACCGCCCGU